UGCAGGCUGGCAUGGCUGGGGGGAUGUCAGCGGAGUGCCCUGAGCCUGGGCUGCAGGGCCAGUCCCCAGGGCCAGGCAGGCAGUGUCCCCCUCCCAUCACGCCCGCCUCCUGGAGCCUGCCCCGGUGGAGGGCCUACGUGGCUGCCGCCGUGCUCUGCUACAUCAACCUCCUGAACUACAUGAACUGGUUCAUCAUCGCAGGAGUGCUGCUGGAUAUACAGGAGGUUUUCCAGAUCAGUGACAACCAUGCUGGUUUGCUUCAGACUGUAUUCUUGGCUCUUCUUCCUGUCCCGGGGCAUCGUGGGCACUGGCUCGGCCAGCUACUCCACCAUCGCGCCCACCGUCCUGGGCGACCUCUUCGUGAGGGACCAGCGCACCCGCGUGCUGGCCGUCUUCUACAUCUUUAUCCCCGUUGGAAGUGGUCUGGGCUACGUGCUGGGGUCGGCUGUGACGAUGCUGACUGGGAACUGGCGCUGGGCCCUCCGAAUCAUGCCCUGCCUGGAGGCCAUGGCCUUGAUCCUGCUUAUCCUGCUGGUUCCAGACCCACCCCGCGGAGCUGCCGAGGCACAGGGGGAGGGGGCCACGGGAGGCUCCAGGAGCAGCUGGUGUGAGGACAUCAGAUACCUGGGGAAAAACCUGAUUUUUGGGUCACUGACCAUCAUGACCGGCAUCAUUGGGGUCAUCUUGGGGGCAGAAGCUGCGAGGAGGUACAAGAAAGUCAUUCCAAGAGCUGAGCCCCUCAUCUGCGCCUCCAGCCUGCUUGCCACAGCCCCCUGCCUCUACCUGGCUCUCGUCCUGGCCCCCAACACCCUGCUGGCGUCCUAU
RNAcentral lists this small RNA (825 nucleotides) under Pongo abelii (Sumatran orangutan). Its description in RNAcentral is "processed transcript". The record is from RNAcentral. Lineage: Eukaryota; Metazoa; Chordata; Mammalia; Primates; Hominidae.